AUUGAACGCUGGCGGCAGGCCUAACACAUGCAAGUCGAGCGGAGCGGCGGACGGGGGAGUAAUGCCUAGGAAUCUGCCUGGGAGUGGGGGAUAACGUACGGAAACGGGCGCUAAUACCGCAUACUAUCAGCAGAGCCUGGGUCGGAUUGGCUAGGUGGUGGGGUAAAGGCCUACCAAGGCGACGAUCCGUAACUGGUCUGAGAGGAUGAUCAGUCACACUGGAACUGAGACACGGUCCAGACUCCUACGGGAGGCAGCAGUGGGGAAUAUUGGACAAUGGGCGCAAGCCUGAUCCAGCCAUGCCGCGUGUGUGAAGAAGGCCUUCGGGUUGUAAAGUACUUUAAGCUGGGAGGCGUUACUCGCAGAAUAAGCACCGGCUAACUCCGUGCCAGCAGCCGCGGUAAUUC
This 407-nucleotide ribosomal RNA is filed under the name uncultured bacterium. RNAcentral's name for it is "partial 16S ribosomal RNA". It matches the Rfam family "Bacterial small subunit ribosomal RNA", at positions 30 to 526 of the family's 1533-position model. The record is from RNAcentral.